UCCCAAACCAUGCCCCAUCCCGGCAUCUGUGACAUACGGUCACAGAACAUAUGGGCUUAGAGUUCCAUCGGGAAGGGUAUCGUUAGAGGUAGUCGAAGCUACGAAAGUCGCGGCAAAGACGGAGGCUGUGCUGGGAGAUGAGGCAGCCUUCUCUAGCAGCUCCAUACGCUUCGUGGGUGAAUGGUGGCUUCACGUCUGGCCUCAGAAGAACUCUGCCCUUUGCCAGAGGCUGGGUUUGUCCCUGAGCGCCCGCUACGCUGCGGAAAACUUGGGCCAAGGCUUCAAAUAGGACUUAACUCUUGGUCCCGAUACAGCUGUGUAUUCAUUGUGAGUAAACUGAGGCAUGACCGGGGGCCCUGCUGCAUGUGGGGGGCGGGAAGGGGGAGGAAGCCUGACGCUUCCCUGCCAUUGCGAGGGUCUGCUUCGGGUCUGGUUCCUGGAACCGACCCGCAGGUGUCUGUCUCCAGCCUCACUUUGCUGCAAGCACCUUGAAGUCACAGCUUCGAGGCAAAGCUCUUGUGUGUCAAAGGGACGUUCACGCCUGGUUUCCAGGGGCUCGGUCUUCACACACCAAAGGGGAGGGUCCCCGUCAGGGGAAUACCCAAACCAAAAAGGACCAGGAUGUCAGGAGGCCAGGGGACGUGGACAGCUGCAAUGGGCAGGGGAUGCUGGCCUUGCCUUGGGGGGGGGGGUCAGUAAGUACUCAUUUCCCUCUUUGUCUCUCCAGCUUUAGGGUCCUCAAGAGGCUCCUCCUGGGGUCCAGAACAGCCUCCAGGAUGGAUGUGCUCAACCUUCUGUCCUCACAAACCAUUAGACCCAGCCCCUCCCCAAGACUGGGAAAGCCCACGGAGUGUCUUCAUAUUAUUAGUUCUUUUCUAUUUAAUUGCACGAUUGCUUUUUUGCAUAUUUACAUAAACAUA
Molecule: long non-coding RNA, 920 nt
Filed under: Lynx pardinus (Iberian lynx)
Lineage: Eukaryota; Metazoa; Chordata; Mammalia; Carnivora; Felidae
Source: RNAcentral